RNAcentral lists this ribosomal RNA (253 nucleotides) under uncultured bacterium. RNAcentral's name for it is "partial 16S ribosomal RNA". It matches the Rfam family "Bacterial small subunit ribosomal RNA", at positions 524 to 776 of the family's 1533-position model. The record is from RNAcentral.
UACGUAGGGUGCGAGCGUUAAUCGGAAUUACUGGGCGUAAAGGGCGCGUAGGCGGCGUUCCAAGUUAGGCGUGAAAGCCCCGGGCUCAACCUGGGAAUUGCGCUUAAGACUGGAAUGCUCGAGUGCGGAAGAGGUGAGUGGAAUUCCCAGUGUAGAGGUGAAAUUCGUAGAUAUUGGGAAGAACACCAGUGGCGAAGGCGGCUCACUGGUCCGCAACUGACGCUGAGGCGCGAAAGCGUGGGGAGCAAACAGG